CAUUUCCCUGUAACUCUGUGCCACUCCUUGUAAUUGCUGCAGAAAUGUAAUUGCCACUCUGUGUAAUUGCUGCAGAAACAAUCUGAGCUGUCAUUGACUUACAUUGUUCACCCAUCAGGAGAAACUGGCAGAUCAGAUUCACCCCACCAUCAGAGACAUGCUGCAUAUGCAUCUACAUCUGAGGCAGGCACUGAGGGCUCCCAUUACAAGCAAUGGAGAUCUAGAAAAUACAGAAGAAUGAAAUCAGGAAGAUAAACAGACAAGAUGCAAUGGAAAAAUCAGCAUUCUUCAGGAUGCUGCUAUGGUGUCGGUCUUGUGGUGGCUACUUUGGCCAUCAUGCAGAUUCCAAAGGGAAGACUGGCACAUGCAUGCCUGUGCUUUCACGCCAUCCCCAAGAGAAUGCAACUGUGCCACAUGUUGUGCUGGGUUUUCUACUCUGACAUAAGUGCGUGCUAAGUCCAAAUGGCAGGAGGUCCCAGCAGCUGAGCUUGGAGGACAAGAGCUUGCUCUACACCCCUUCAUCCUCUGUGCUACUGCCUGAUCCAGCCACACUCCACCACAAACACUGAUGGGGACAAAAUGCACCUUUUGUAAAAUGCAUCAAUUAAAGUUCAUAAAUACAAUUGGUUAUAAUUUAGAUAUGUUUCACUGUGAACUACUGGAAAAAAAGAAUCCUAUUUUUCCCCUUU
Long non-coding RNA from Numida meleagris (helmeted guineafowl), 689 nucleotides. RefSeq lists it as uncharacterized. The record is from RefSeq and is a predicted model, not a curated record. NCBI's taxonomy places the organism in Eukaryota, Metazoa, Chordata, Aves, Galliformes, Numididae. The transcript has 3 exons.